GUCAUCCACAUUAUCUCUAUAUAAAUCGAUGUUUACAGAUGUAUAUAUCGAGACAAGACCUCGAUAAUAGCCAAACAAGGUAAAAAAAGACUAAGUCUAAAGAUAGGAGACCAAUAAAGAAUGCUUUCUGAUGAAAGGAAUCUCACCAUUCCAAAGUCAAUGCACGAAACGCUUCGAUCACCUAAUCACUGCAUGCGAAGAGAAGAUGAUGCUCCGGCCCCUAUAUCGCAUGGGGACAUAGCGUUCGGAGAUGGUUAGCAGUUGGAGUUCUAGCAUGUAACUCAAGAAUGAGAAUAAAAUAGCAUCAUCAAUCAAUAACAAGUCAAUAUAUCAUAUUCAACAUAUUCAUGACCUUAUCCAUACAUAUAGGUGUAUCACAUGCCAAACAAGUAGACAAGUCUUAACAACAUUCUCAAAGCACUUAAUCACGAGACAUAAAGUGCAUGACUUGGACCUUUUACACGUAGAUUCAAACAAUUCUCAUUAGGUAUGGGACUUCAACCACAUUCACAUAUUACUUAGACUAAGGACUUUAACCAUGUACUCACU
This 549-nucleotide long non-coding RNA is filed under the name Capsicum annuum. RNAcentral's name for it is "long non-coding RNA (CANN_LNC005375)". The record is from RNAcentral. Lineage: Eukaryota; Viridiplantae; Streptophyta; Magnoliopsida; Solanales; Solanaceae.